This 392-nucleotide long non-coding RNA is filed under the name Elaeis guineensis (African oil palm). RNAcentral describes it as "long non-coding RNA (EGUI_LNC034714)". Lineage: Eukaryota; Viridiplantae; Streptophyta; Magnoliopsida; Arecales; Arecaceae. The record is from RNAcentral.
AUUUAAUUUAAUUAGAUUUAAUUUAAUUUAAUGCUAAUUGGGUUCAAUUAUCUAAAUCAGAUUUGGAUUUCAAGCCUGAUUGGAUUAAGCUUGACAGCCUUUUCGAAUUCGGCUCGUUUUAGAUUCGAUUUGAACUCAAUUAAGGCCAAACUUGAACCACAAGAACCAUGAUUCGGAGAGCCCAAGUCCCCUAGGACUCUCUUUCUAGAAAUCAUGCCAAGAAGGGAAGAGGGGCGUUGUUUUUCUCGUUCUUUUUUCUUAGCGCGCGUGAAAGGAGAGGGGGCACCAAUAGUUGCUGCCCCACCUUAUCUGGAAUUCUUUCUUAUCCAGAUUUUUUUUCUAUUUGAAUAUGAUUCAAAAUAGGAACAAAAUAUAUCUGAUUGGGGCGUGGA